UCCAAGGAGCUUGCUCCGAAAGAUUUAGUGGCGAACGGGUGAGUAUCACGUGAGCAACCUGCCCCGAAGACUGGGAUAACACCGGGAAACCGGUGCUAAUACCGGAUGUCUUUCAACGGUCGCAUGAUCGAUGAAAGAAAUGUUUUUUCGCUUUGGGAGGGGCUCGCGGUCCAUCAGCUUGUUGGCGGGGUAACGGCCCACCAAGGCUACGACGGAUAGCUGGUCUGAGAGGACGAUCAGCCACACUGGAACUGAGACACGGUCCAGACUCCUACGGGAGGCAGCAGUGGGGAAUCUUGCGCAAUGGACGAAAGUCUGACGCAGCAACGCCGCGUGAGGGACGAAGGCUUUCUGAG
Molecule: ribosomal RNA, 356 nt
Filed under: uncultured bacterium
Lineage: Bacteria
Description: bacterial SSU rRNA
Rfam family: Bacterial small subunit ribosomal RNA
Source: RNAcentral